This 282-nucleotide ribosomal RNA is filed under the name uncultured bacterium. RNAcentral describes it as "partial 16S ribosomal RNA". It matches the Rfam family "Bacterial small subunit ribosomal RNA", at positions 29 to 327 of the family's 1533-position model. The record is from RNAcentral.
AACGAACGCUGGCGGCAUGCCUAACACAUGCAAGUCGAACGUGAUCCGGGACUUCGGUUUCGGUGAAAGUGGCGGACGGGUGAGUAACGCGUGGGAACCUGCCCAGUGGUAGGGGAUAACCGCGGGAAACUGCGGCUAAUACCCUAUGUGCCCUGCGGGGCAAAGAUUCAUCGCCAUUGGAGGGGCCCGCGUCGGAUUAGGUAGUUGGUGGGUAACGGCCUACCAAGCCUUCGAUCCGUAGCUGGUCUGAGGGGAUGAUCAGCCACACUGGGACUGAGACAC